This 497-nucleotide ribosomal RNA is filed under the name uncultured bacterium. RNAcentral's name for it is "partial 16S ribosomal RNA". It matches the Rfam family "Bacterial small subunit ribosomal RNA", at positions 28 to 507 of the family's 1533-position model. The record is from RNAcentral.
GAUGAACGCUGGCGGCGUGCCUAAUACAUGCAAGUCGAGCGAACAGACGCGGAGCUUGCUCCUCUGACGUUAGCGGCGGACGGGUGAGUAACACGUGGAUACCCUACCUAUAAGACUGGGAUAACUUCGGGACACCGGAGCUAAUACCGGAUAAUAUAUUGAACCGCAUUGUUCAAUAGUGAAAGACGGUUUUGCUGUCUCUUAUAGCUGGAUCCGCGCCGCAUUAGCUAGUUGGUAAGGUAACGGCUUACCAAGGCAACGAUGCGUAGCCGACCUGAGAGGGUGAUCGGCCACACUGGAACUGAGACACGGUCCAGACGCCUGCGGGAGGCAGCAGUAGGGAAUCUUCCGCAAUGGGCGAAAGCCUGACGGAGCGACGCCGCGUGAGUGAUGAAGAUCUUCGGAGCGUAAAGCUCUGUUAUUAGGGGAGAACAAAUGUGUAAGUAACUAUGCACGUCUUGACGGUACCUAGUCAGAAAGCCACGGCUAACUACGUG